AUGAAAGGGCGGCAUGCUUACCAUGCAGUCGAACGAUGAACCUCCUUCGGGAGGGGAUUAGUGGCGAACGGGUGAGUAACACGUGGGCAAUCUGCCCUGCACUCUGGGACAAGCCCUGGAAACGGGGUCUAAUACCGGAUACUGACCCGCUUGGGCAUCCAAGCGGUUCGAAAGCUCCGGCGGUGCAGGAUGAGCCCGCGGCCUAUCAGCUUGUUGGUGAGGUAAUGGCUCACCAAGGCGACGACGGGUAGCCGGCCUGAGAGGGCGAUCGUCCACACUGGGACUGAGACUCAAUCCAUACUUCUAUCUCGAGGCAG
Molecule: ribosomal RNA, 317 nt
Rfam family: Bacterial small subunit ribosomal RNA